AGAGUUUGAUCCUGGCUCAGAUUGAACGCUGGCGGCAUGCCUUACACAUGCAAGUCGAACGGGCUUUGGGGCUUGCUCCAAAGUUAGCGGCGAACGGGUGAGUAAUAUAUCGGAACGUACCCUUGAGUGGGGGAUAACAUAGCGAAAGUUAUGCUAAUACCGCAUACGAUCUAAGGAUGAAAGUGGGGGACCGCAAGGCCUCACGCUCCUGGAGCGGCCGAUAUCUGAUUAGCUAGUUGGUGAGGUAAAGGCUCACCAAGGCUUCGAUCAGUAGCUGGUCUGAGAGGACGAUCAGCCACACUGGGACUGAGACACGGCCCAGACUCCUACGGGAG
This 335-nucleotide ribosomal RNA is filed under the name uncultured bacterium. RNAcentral describes it as "bacterial SSU rRNA". It matches the Rfam family "Bacterial small subunit ribosomal RNA", at positions 8 to 347 of the family's 1533-position model. The record is from RNAcentral.